This 367-nucleotide long non-coding RNA is filed under the name Chinchilla lanigera (long-tailed chinchilla). RNAcentral's name for it is "lncRNA (ENSCLAG00000025007.1)". The record is from RNAcentral. Lineage: Eukaryota; Metazoa; Chordata; Mammalia; Rodentia; Chinchillidae.
GUCCUAGGGACAGGGCAGGAAGGAAGGUUCCUGAGCUCCACCCUUCAACUCCCACCUUUGGCCAGCACAGGUCCGUGCAACUUGCGGGGCUCCCUGCCCGCACCCCCCAGCCCUCUGCUGUCACAGCAUCAUCACAAGCCUCAGCCUAGCAGGGCCAGAACAAAAGUGCGUCCCCAAGGCGGGUGGGUUGAGACUGUUCAGGCUAAACUUUAGGUCUGGGUAAGAAUCAAGGUCUGCCUCUCUCCAGCUCAAUCCGACUUUCGAGACGAGCAGAACGCAGCUCCUGGGGUGAUCUUUCAGUUGUGUUAUAAAAUCAUUAGCUUUCCCCUAGUUGUGCCAUUUAAAAAUAUACACUGUGCUCCUGUAC